This 73-nucleotide transfer RNA is filed under the name Candidatus Gottesmanbacteria bacterium. Its description in RNAcentral is "tRNA-Thr". It matches the Rfam family "tRNA". Rfam says of the family: Transfer RNA (tRNA) molecules are approximately 80 nucleotides in length. Their secondary structure includes four short double-helical elements and three loops (D, anti-codon, and T loops). Lineage: Bacteria; Candidatus Gottesmaniibacteriota. The record is from RNAcentral.
GCUGGCGUAGCUCAGUUGGUAGAGCAGCACUUUCGUAAAGUGACGGUCGGCAGUUCGACUCUGCCCGCCAGCU